UGGCUCAGGACGAACGCUGGCGGCGUGCCUAAUACAUGCAAGUCGAACGGUCUUUCUAUGGAAGCUUGCUUCCACUGAGAAGAUAGUGGCGGACGGGUGAGUAACACGUGGGUAACCUGCCCAUAAGAGGGGGGAUAACAUCCGGAAACGGGUGCUAAUACCGCAUAGUUUUCUUGAUCGCAUGAUCGGGAAAGGAAAGACGGCCUUUGUGCUGUCGCUUAUGGAUGGACCCGCGGCGUAUUAGUUAGUUGGUGAGGUAACGGCUCACCAAGACGAUGAUACGUAGCCGACCUGAGAGGGUGAUCGGCCACAUUGGGACUGAGACACGGCCCAAACUCCUACGGGAGGCAGCAGUAGGGAAUCUUCCGCAAUGGACGAAAGUCUGACGGAGCAACGCCGCGUGAGUGAAGUAAAGGUUUUCGGAUCGUAAAACUCUGUUGUCAGAGAAGAACAAGUCGGAGAGUAACUGCUCCGGCCUUGACGGUAUCUGACCAGAAAGCCACGGCUAACUACGUGCCAGCCGCUGC
RNAcentral lists this ribosomal RNA (527 nucleotides) under uncultured bacterium. RNAcentral describes it as "bacterial SSU rRNA". It matches the Rfam family "Bacterial small subunit ribosomal RNA", at positions 20 to 518 of the family's 1533-position model. The record is from RNAcentral.